AGGGUAAGCCAUGCUGGAGAAGCAGGGCACAUGCUAAAUCUAUUAGGCAAAAAUAUUGUCUUUUAUUUUGCAUGUGCCUUGGCUCUCCAUCUUGGAAACUC
Molecule: microRNA precursor, 101 nt
Filed under: Gossypium raimondii (Peruvian cotton)
Lineage: Eukaryota; Viridiplantae; Streptophyta; Magnoliopsida; Malvales; Malvaceae
Description: miR164a stem-loop (gra-MIR164a)
Gene: gra-MIR164a
Source: miRBase by way of RNAcentral